UAGAUAAAUUUUUUAUAUUUUUGUUAAUUUAUUAUGAAUUUAUUUUACAUAUAAAUUUUAGUAUAAAAUUUUAAUUAUUUUAAAAAUAAUUAAUUUAAUUAUAUAGUAAUUAAAAUUAAAAAUUUAAGAAAUUAAGAUUUAGUAAUAUUUAAAUUAAUAACUAAUUUUGUGCCAGCAGUUGCGGUUAAACAAAAGUUAAAUUAAAUUAUUUCAGUAUGUAAUAAAUAAUAAAUAAUUUAAAAUUAAAUAUUAAAUUGUUAAGUGAAAUUUUAAUUUAAUUAAAAAUUAUUUUUAAAUUAUGAUUUAAUAAAUUUUAUUAUAAACUAGGAUUAGAUACCCUAUUAUUAAAAAUUUAAUUUAAAAUACUAAAAUAGUAAAUAAAAUAUUAUUGAAACUUAAAUAAUAUGGCGGUAUUUUAGUUCAUUUAGAGGAAUCUGUCUAAUAAUUGAUAAUCCACGAAUAAAUUUACUUAAUUUAUAAUUUUAUAUAUCGUUGUAAAAAAAAUAUUUUUAAAUAAAAAUAAUAUUUUAAAAUUUAAAAUAAAAUUUAAUUCAGAUCAAGAUGUAGAUUAUAAUUAAGUUUAAGAUGGAUUACAAUAAAUUUAUUUAAAUGAAAAGGAUUUUGUAAAAUUUAGUUGAAGGUGGAUUUAAAUGUAAUUUUAAUUAGUUUAUUAAAAUGAUUAAAAAUUGAAAUAUGUACAUAUUGCCCGUCACUUUCAUUUUAAAAUUGAAAUAAGUCGUAACAAAGUAGAAGUACUGGAAAGUGUUUCUAGAAUGAU
RNAcentral lists this non-coding RNA (778 nucleotides) under Limenitis moltrechti. Lineage: Eukaryota; Metazoa; Arthropoda; Insecta; Lepidoptera; Nymphalidae. The record is from RNAcentral.